RNAcentral lists this ribosomal RNA (1367 nucleotides) under uncultured beta proteobacterium. RNAcentral's name for it is "bacterial SSU rRNA". It matches the Rfam family "Bacterial small subunit ribosomal RNA", at positions 29 to 1394 of the family's 1533-position model. The record is from RNAcentral. Lineage: Bacteria; Pseudomonadati; Pseudomonadota; Betaproteobacteria.
UUGAACGCUGGCGGCAUGCCUUACACAUGCAAGUCGAACGGCAGCACGGGUGCUUGCACCUGGUGGCGAGUGGCGAACGGGUGAGUAAUACAUCGGAACAUGUCCUGUAGUGGGGGAUAGCCCGGCGAAAGCCGGAUUAAUACCGCAUACGAUCUACGGAUGAAAGCGGGGGACCUUCGGGCCUCGCGCUAUAGGGUUGGCCGAUGGCUGAUUAGCUAGUUGGUGGGGUAAAGGCCUACCAAGGCGACGAUCAGUAGCUGGUCUGAGAGGACGACCAGCCACACUGGGACUGAGACACGGCCCAGACUCCUACGGGAGGCAGCAGUGGGGAAUUUUGGACAAUGGGCGAAAGCCUGAUCCAGCAAUGCCGCGUGUGUGAAGAAGGCCUUCGGGUUGUAAAGCACUUUUGUCCGGAAAGAAAUCCUUGGCUCUAAUACAGUCGGGGGAUGACGGUACCGGAAGAAUAAGCACCGGCUAACUACGUGCCAGCAGCCGCGGUAAUACGUAGGGUGCGAGCGUUAAUCGGAAUUACUGGGCGUAAAGCGUGCGCAGGCGGUUUGCUAAGACCGAUGUGAAAUCCCCGGGCUCAACCUGGGAACUGCAUUGGUGACUGGCAGGCUAGAGUAUGGCAGAGGGGGGUAGAAUUCCACGUGUAGCAGUGAAAUGCGUAGAGAUGUGGAGGAAUACCGAUGGCGAAGGCAGCCCCCUGGGCCAAUACUGACGCUCAUGCACGAAAGCGUGGGGAGCAAACAGGAUUAGAUACCCUGGUAGUCCACGCCCUAAACGAUGUCAACUAGUUGUUGGGGAUUCAUUUCCUUAGUAACGUAGCUAACGCGUGAAGUUGACCGCCUGGGGAGUACGGUCGCAAGAUUAAAACUCAAAGGAAUUGACGGGGACCCGCACAAGCGGUGGAUGAUGUGGAUUAAUUCGAUGCAACGCGAAAAACCUUACCUACCCUUGACAUGGUCGGAAUCCCGCUGAGAGGUGGGAGUGCUCGAAAGAGAACCGGCGCACAGGUGCUGCAUGGCUGUCGUCAGCUCGUGUCGUGAGAUGUUGGGUUAAGUCCCGCAACGAGCGCAACCCUUGUCCUUAGUUGCUACGCAAGAGCACUCUAAGGAGACUGCCGGUGACAAACCGGAGGAAGGUGGGGAUGACGUCAAGUCCUCAUGGCCCUUAUGGGUAGGGCUUCACACGUCAUACAAUGGUCGGAACAGAGGGUUGCCAACCCGCGAGGGGGAGCUAAUCCCAGAAAACCGAUCGUAGUCCGGAUUGCACUCUGCAACUCGAGUGCAUGAAGCUGGAAUCGCUAGUAAUCGCGGAUCACGCAUGCCGCGGUGAAUACGUUCCCGGGUCUUGUACUCACCGCC